Molecule: ribosomal RNA, 486 nt
Filed under: uncultured bacterium
Lineage: Bacteria
Description: bacterial SSU rRNA
Rfam family: Bacterial small subunit ribosomal RNA
Source: RNAcentral
UCAGAUUGAACGCUGGCGGAUGCUUACACAUGCAAGUCGAGCGGCAGGCGCGGGGGCGAACCCUGGCGGCGAGCGGCGAACGGUGAGUAACAUAUCGGAACGUACCCCGUCGUGGGGGAUAACACAGCGAAAGCUGUGCUAAUACCGCAUACGACCUGAGGGUGAAAGCGGGGGAUCGCAAGACCUCGCGCGAUGGGAGCGGCCGAUAUCGGAUUAGCUUGUUGGUGAGGUAAAGGCUCACCAAGGCGACGAUCCGUAGCUGGUCUGAGAGGACGACCAGCCACACUGGAACUGAGACACGGUCCAGACUCCUACGGGAGGCAGCAGUGGGAAUUUUGGACAAUGGGCGAAAGCCUGAUCCAGCCAUGCCGCGUGAGUGAAGAAGGCCUUCGGGUUGUAAAGCUCUUUCGGUGGGGAAGAAAUUGCAUAGGCUAAUACCCUAUGUAGAUGACGGUACCUGGAGAAGAAGCACCGGCUAACUACGUG